Molecule: long non-coding RNA, 919 nt
Filed under: Numida meleagris (helmeted guineafowl)
Lineage: Eukaryota; Metazoa; Chordata; Aves; Galliformes; Numididae
Description: lncRNA (ENSNMEG00000022120.1)
Source: RNAcentral
AUGCCUUCAGUAUUCCAGUUCUUUAAGAAACCUCUAAUAUUUUCCUCCUGCUGGCAGUUCGUUUUAAUUGGUACUGUGCUCUUCUUGUGCAGCUUCUGUGACUGGGGGGGCUCACAGCAUUGCUAUAUGGUUAGCCCCGCCUAUUUUCUGUCUCUUCCUGUGUGCAACCUGCCUGACUCAUGCCUUUCUGUCUGUUGCUGUGUGGUGAAGUUAAUAGUAACUUACCAUGGGUGUAUUAAGAAUAAGACAUUUGUUAGCUAUGGUGUCACAACCUCUGUGCUAGGAAGAGGGCUACCCAGUCUAACCAGCAAGAGAACUGUACAUGCUAAAUGGAGAGAAGUUUGCAGAAGCCAUCCCAUUUGCUUCAGCUGACUGUACAGUGCCAAUUUUGUAGUUGUCUGCAAAGGAUGUUGAAGGCAGAAAGAAAAGGCAGAGUGGGGAAAAAAAUGAAUUAUAAACAGCACAGGAAAGUUCACCUCAAGAAGUUGUUGAGAGGAAUUUGAAUUACAGAGAACUGACGAGACACAGCCAGUUAGCCUGAAGUGCUGGAAGAGUAGCAGUGUUCUAGGAUCAGCAGUGACCUCAAGCAGGAAGAUGUGUUCACCAGCAUGAACCACUGUUAUCCCUGGAUGCCUGGAGCUGGCCACCAGGAUGCUCUGGAGUAACCUGGGUUGUAGGAGGGAUGCUGGAGAGCAUCCACCCUUGCUGGAGCAGCCAGCAAUUGACCAGAUAGAAAUUUUUGACCCAGGAGAGUCCUGGAAGAUGUGAUACGUUCUGGAGAGAAAACCAGGUGACCAAGAGAAGGAGCCUGCUUUAAAAGAUGGAUUAGAAGAGCAAUCUGCCCCAUGUAUAAUUCCUCAGGCAGUAUGGAUUGCAUCUUUUUACCUUAAAAUAAAGGCAGUGGUGACACUGGGCUCCA